RNAcentral lists this ribosomal RNA (900 nucleotides) under CFB group bacterium epibiont of Rimicaris exoculata. Its description in RNAcentral is "bacterial SSU rRNA". It matches the Rfam family "Bacterial small subunit ribosomal RNA", at positions 38 to 926 of the family's 1533-position model. Lineage: Bacteria; Pseudomonadati. The record is from RNAcentral.
GGAUCGAUGGCUUACCAUGCAAGUCGAGGGGUAACGAUGAUAGCUUGCUAUCAGGCGACGACCGGCGCACGGGUGCGUAACGCGUAUACAAUCUACCUAUUACAGGGGGAUAGCCCAGAGAAAUUUGGAUUAAUACCCCAUAGUAUUAUAAAGAGGCAUCUUUUUAUAAUUAAAACUCCGGUGGUAAUAGAUGAGUAUGCGUCUUAUUAGUUAGUUGGUGAGGUAACGGCUCACCAAGACCACGAUAAGUAGGGGUCCUGAGAGGGAGAUCCCCCACACUGGUACUGAGACACGGACCAGACUCCUACGGGAGGCAGCAGUGAGGAAUAUUGGGCAAUGGAGGCAACUCUGACCCAGCCAUGUCGCGUGCAGGAAGACGGUUCUAUGAAUUGUAAACUGCUUUUAUAGAGGAAGAAACCCACGCUCGUGAGCGUGGCUGACGGUACUCUACGAAUAAAGACCGGCUAACUCCGUGCCAGCAGCCGCGGUAAUACGGAGGGUCUAAGCGUUAUCCGGAAUCAUUGGGUUUAAAGGGUCCGUAGGCGGGCUAAUAAGUCAGAGGUGAAAUCCCACAGCUUAACUGUGGAACUGCCUUUGAUACUGUUAGUCUUGAGUCAUAAUGAAGUAGAUGGAAUGUGUAGUGUAGCGGUGAAAUGCAUAGAUAUUACACAGAACACCGAUUGCGAAGGCAGUCUACUAAUUAUGUACUGACGCUGAGGGACGAAAGCGUGGGGAGCGAACAGGAUUAGAUACCCUGGUAGUCCACGCCGUAAACGAUGGAUACUAGCUGUUAGUCAUGCCGUAGGGUAUGAUUAGUGGCCAAGCAAAAGUGAUAAGUAUCCCACCUGGGGGAGUACGUUCGCAAGAAUGAAACUCAAAGGAAUUGACGGGGGCCCGCAC